This 277-nucleotide ribosomal RNA is filed under the name Xylonora atlantica. RNAcentral's name for it is "Xylophaga atlantica partial 28S ribosomal RNA". It matches the Rfam family "Eukaryotic large subunit ribosomal RNA", at positions 44 to 312 of the family's 3401-position model. The record is from RNAcentral. Lineage: Eukaryota; Metazoa; Mollusca; Bivalvia; Myida; Xylophagaidae.
CUGUAAGCUGUGGAAAAGAAAAUAACAAGGAUUUCCUCAGUAACGGCGAGUGAAGCGGGAUCAGCCCAGCACCGAAUCCCCGCUCCGAGAGGGGCGCGGGAAAUGUGGUGUACAGGAAGCCGAUUGGCGGCGUGGUCUGGCGCUCGAGUCCUCCUGAUCGUGGCCACACCCAGAGCUGGUGUCAGGCCCCUGGCGGCGCCGGACUCGCUGCCUUCGAGCUUCCUCGGAGUCGGGUUGCUUGAGAAUGCAGCCCAAAGCGGGUGGUAAACUCCACCUA